ACUGUGACUCCCCUAGGUUAUGAGCAGCCCAAGAGGAGGAACAAUGGUAGCUCCAGAAGUUCUAACAGGAAGAGGAAAGGGUCAGAGAUUUUAUUAAGAAAAGAAUUUUGGAGGAGUAAUCAGCGGAUUUGACUUGAAACAAUAGCUGCAGAAUAUGUUUAAUUUUGAAGAUCUACACUUUUAUUUCAGAGAAGUAUGGAGGGGCACAAUGAGUAAAUACAAAUGUUUGGUCCACUAUCUUGGAUCAGAAGGCUAGCCGAACAUCUUGGAUUCCACUGAGCUAAUUGACAUUGUAUAAUAAUGAAAAAAAUAAACAAAUUUCUCAAGACUCAAAAUAUCUAAGAAUGUAGGUCAAGAACAUUUAAGAGGGGGAAGAUGGGUGUAAAUAUCUGAGAACAUUCUGGGGAAAGGAGUUACAGUGAUGAACAAAGAAGACAUAUUUGAGAAGUGAAGAAUACAGACAAGUAAGCAGACAAAUACGAGACCGUGAUAAACCCUACCAUGAUCCAAUGAUCAGGUGCUAUGGGAACAUAAAGACAGACAUAUGCUUGGAACGAGGAGUCAGGAAAAUGUUCCCAGGGGAAAUGACAUCUCUGAAACCUAAAGGAUUUGAGAGGAACUCAUCAUGGCUGAGACAUCAUCUGUGAGGUGGAGAAUUGUGAGGCCUGAGGCAGGAGACAUAAGCAGAAAAAUUAUAAAGGAACAUCUGCCCCCACACUAGAGAGCUUGAACUUGACCAUGAGGGCAAAGAGAAGAGCAACUAAAGGGGUUGAGAUUGGGAUGCAACAAGGUCUGAUUUGCAUUUGAGAAAGAUCUCUCUUGCUAUAAUAUGUGGAAUGUGUUAAGAGAUGAAAACAACUGGGCACCUGGUGCUGGGAACUCAGAUAGGAGUCUGUGACCAUAACCCAGGAAAGCGGGGAGAAGGCCUUAGACUAAAAUAGUAGCAGUAGACUAGAGACAAGUGGAUAGAAUCAAUCUGGAGGGCAUGUCUGUGGCAGAGUCCACAAGGGUAGGAGGAAGGGCAUAAAGCUGUAGGCUAAAUGUGCUUUUUUAUCGGAGUCUGAGGACCCCAGAAUGUUCAGCUGCUCAGAGCAGGGCUUCCUGUGGGCUCCUUCUGUUUGCAGCCUGUUUCACCUUUCACAACGCAGCAUUAUUUGGUCUCCCCCUUUCCACAAAGGGCCUGUUCUCUGAACCUCUGUGGUCCAUUUUCCAUCUCCCUCCAACCCCACCUGAAACAGUGGCCUUUCCUCCUCACCUUCCCACCCACCCCAACCCUGUACACUUCCCAAAGCCCAAGAUAGUCCCUAUGGAGUGACUUCUUGAGGGCUUCUAUUGAAAAGGCAGGGAUAGCCCUUGACUCUAUAGAGUUGACGGCAGAUAGUGGAUGAUGGAGGGAGAGAGGUAAUCCAGGAAACUGGUCCUUUUUAAGAUUGUAGUGGUUUAGGAUGCUAAAGCCAGAGGAUCACUUAAGGCCAGGAGUGAGUUCAAGACCAGCCUGAGUAACAUAGCAGUACUCCCAUCUCCCAUCUCCACAACAAACAAACAAAACAUUAGUUGGGCAUAAUGGCACGUGCCUGUAAUCCCAGCUACUCAGAAGGGAGGAUCACUUGAGCCCAGGAAUUAGAGGCUGCAAUGAGCUAUGGUCAUGCCAUUGUAUUCCAGCCUAGGAGGCAAAGUGAGACCCUGUCUCUUCUCUUUUGUUUAUUUUAUAGAUGGUCCAUCAGUCACUAGUGAAAAAAUUUAUAUACGUGCACAUGCAUACACACAGGCAUACUGAUACAGUUUGGCUGUGUCCCCACCCAAAUCUCAUCUUGAAUUGUAGCUCCCAUAAUCCCCAUGUGUCUUGAGGGGAGCUGGUGGGAGGUAAUUGAAUCAUGGGGAUAAGUUUUUCCCAUGCUGUCCUUGUGAUAGUGAAUAAGUCUCGUGAGAUCCGAUGGUUUUAUAAAGGGCAAUUCCCCUGCACACACGCUCUUGCCUGCCACCAUGUAAGAUGUGCCUUUGCUCCUCCUUCACCUUCCACCAUGAUUGUGAGGCCUCCACAGCCAUGUGGAACGGUGAGUCCGUUAAACCUCUUUUUCUUUAUAAAUUACCGUCUCGGGCAUUUCUUCACAUAGCAGUAGGAAAAUGGACUAAAACACACACAAAGCUCCAACAUACACAUACACACACACCCUCCAAAGGACAAUUAUUAAUUCUCAAAUAUAUACAGCCUAUAAAAUAAGAAAAAAUAAACAUUUUCCUAACUGCCUCAUAAUUUGCAAGUCACCUUUCUUACACAUAGAGUCAGUGUUUUAUUUCCUCCUUCUUCACUUUCAAUUUGUGCUUCUUCAUUCCUAGCAGGAAUAAGAAAGAGCCUACUGCUGAGUUAAAACACCUCUUCAUAAUUACUUCCAAGGUACCCAAUCUCCUAUUCAAAACUGUGAUACUAUUUGUCCUUAAGGCUUGAUUAAAUUUUUAGUCAAUGUUUCUCAUCAUCCUGUUUCUGCCGAGGGUAAGGAAAAAUAUUUAUUAUUUUAUUGUUUCAAAUGCAUCAAUAUGUUGUGUUCCUCUAGUCAAAUAAUAGAAAGUGUUUAGUAACAGUACAAUAUUAUGCAAAGGUCUCUGGUUAAAGUAAGACCUUGGCUCAAAAAUGCUCACUAACUGCCCAAUACUGAGUAAAUCACUUCUUUUUCCUAAGUCUUAGUUUCCUCAUCAGUACAGGGAUGGUUAACAUAGGUUGAGUUUCUUUUCCAUAAUAUAAUUUAUUUUGAGUGCAAAAUUACAUACGUAAGUAGUUAAUAUGUAGCAGUUGUUUUAAAACUACUGUAUUUAAUUUUGGCUAAAAUCAGAAAUCAUUUGAGGUAAUCAUUAAUUUUUGCAAAUGAAGCUGCUAAAGCACAGAAUGAGGUAAGUUCUGCCCAGUUCCACAAAGUGGCACAGUCAGGAACAAAGGCCAACUUCCUGAUUCUUGCUCAGAGUUCUUUCCAUUAUACCUUCUAGAGAGAGCUGGAGUGUGUGGAAGGGGGAGAAGAGCCUUUCACUAUGGAAUCUGUGCCCUAAGGACAUGUCCCCCACUAAAUGUCUAGGCAAAUGCCAGUUCUUUUCAAUGUCCAUGUGGUUUUGUCUUGGAUGGAAAAGUUUUUUUCCAGCACCACCUAUCCUAUUAUCUGUUUUGAAAGGGUAAUCUGUCAGGCACAUCAAACAUUAAAAGCAGUGGGAACAUUCUGAGGUUUAUAGUGUGUAUAUUUUUCUCACCAAUUAAAUCUUCACUCCUCAGUUAUCAGACAAAAG
This is a long non-coding RNA of Homo sapiens (human), 3270 nucleotides long. RefSeq lists it as uncharacterized. Lineage: Eukaryota; Metazoa; Chordata; Mammalia; Primates; Hominidae. The transcript is spliced from 3 exons. The record is from RefSeq and is a predicted model, not a curated record.